RNAcentral lists this ribosomal RNA (1242 nucleotides) under metagenome. RNAcentral describes it as "bacterial LSU rRNA". It matches the Rfam family "Bacterial large subunit ribosomal RNA", at positions 1564 to 2816 of the family's 2925-position model. The record is from RNAcentral.
UGAAUACGAGAUGCUACGGCGUCGAAGCAGUCUAUGUCAUACUUCCAAGAAAAGCUCGCACUGUCAUAAACAAAUAAUGCCUGUACCAUAACCGACACAGGUGGGUAGGUAGAGUAUACUAAGGGGCGCGAGAUAACUCUCUCUAAGGAACUCGGCAAAAUGACUCCGUAACUUCGGGAGAAGGAGUGCCUUAUUUAUAAGGUUGCAAUAACAAGAUCCAAGCAACUGUUUAUCAAAAACACAGGUCUCCGCUAAGUCGUAAGACGAUGUAUGGGGGCUGACGCCUGCCCAGUGCCAGAAGGUUAAAGAAGUUGGUUAGCAUUCGCGAAGCUGAUAACUGAAGCCCUGGUGAACGGCGGCCGUAACUAUAACGGUCCUAAGGUAGCGAAAUUCCUUGUCGGGUAAGUUCCGACCCGCACGAAAGGCGUAAUGAUUUGGAUACUGUCUCGGAGAGGGGCUCGGUGAAAUAGACUUGUCUGUGAAGAUGCGGACUACCUGCACCAGGACAGAAGGACCCUAUGAAGCUUUACUGUAACUUGAGAUUGAAAUUGGACUUUACUUGCGCAGUAUAGGUGGGAGGCGUUGAUAAUAUUCUUGCGGGAUUAUUUGAGCCAUCAGUGAGAUACCACUCUUGUAAUGUUAGAUUUCUAACUUUGUAUCAUUAUCUGGUCAAAGGACAGUUUCAGGCGGGCAGUUUGACUGGGGCGGUCGCCUCCUAAACGGUAACGGAGGCGCACAAAGGUUUCCUCUGAACGGGUAGAAAUCGUAUCUAGAGUGUAAAGGCAUAAGGAAGCUUGACUGUGAGACCUACAAGUCGAGCAGGGACGAAAGUCGGUCUUAGUGAUCUGACGGUGCUGAGUGGAAAGGCCGUCACUCAACGGAUAAAGUUACUCUAAGGAUAACAGGCUGAUCUCCCCCAAGAGUUCACAUCGACGGGGAGGUUUGGCACCUCGAUGUCGGCUCAUCGCAUCCUGGGGCGGUAGUACGUCCCAAGGGUUGGGCUGUUCGCCCAUGAAAGCGGUACGCGAGCUGGGUUCAGAACGUCGUGAGACAGUUCGGUCCAUAUCCGGUGUAGGCGUUAGAAUAUUGAGAGGAGCCUUCUUUAGUACGAGAGGACCGAGAAGGACAUACCUCUGGUGUACCAGUUAUCGUGCCAACGGUAAACGCUGGGUAGCUAUGUAUGGAGUGGAUAACCGCUGAAAGCAUCUAAGUGGGAAGCCCACCUCAAGAUAAGUAUUCUCA